This 497-nucleotide ribosomal RNA is filed under the name uncultured bacterium. Its description in RNAcentral is "partial 16S ribosomal RNA". It matches the Rfam family "Bacterial small subunit ribosomal RNA", at positions 28 to 507 of the family's 1533-position model. The record is from RNAcentral.
GACGAACGCUGGCGGCGUGCCUAAUGCAUGCAAGUUGAGCGCUGAAGGUUGGUACUUGUACCAACUGGAUGAGCAGCGAACGGGUGAGUAACGCGUGGGGAAUCUGCCUUUGAGCGGGGGACAACAUUUGGAAACGAAUGCUAAUACCGCAUAAAAACUUUAAACACAAGUUUUAAGUUUGAAAGAUGCAAUUGCAUCACUCAAAGAUGAUCCCGCGUUGUAUUAGCUAGUUGGUGAGGUAAAGGCUCACCAAGGCGAUGAUACAUAGCCGACCUGAGAGGGUGAUCGGCCACAGUGGGACUGAGACACGGCCCAAACUCCUACGGGAGGCAGCAGUAGGGAAUCUUCGGCAAUGGACGAAAGUCUGACCGAGCAACGCCGCGUGAGUGAAGAAGGUUUUCGGAUCGUAAAACUCGGUUGGUAGAGAAGAACGUUGGUGAGAGUGGAAAGCUCAUCAAGUGACGGUAACUACCCAGAAAGGGACGGCUAACUACGUG